Molecule: long non-coding RNA, 822 nt
Organism: Danio aesculapii
Lineage: Eukaryota; Metazoa; Chordata; Actinopteri; Cypriniformes; Danionidae
Exons: 3
Source: RefSeq, a predicted model, not a curated record
CAGAGUGAGGUGCAUCUGUCUCCACUGAUUAUGCUUUACAAUCCAUACAUACAGUUCUGGGAAUAAGAAUUUUCUAUUAGUGUUCAUAAGUUUCCCAUGAUCAAACAUUAAAUCUCAGUAUCCUGGAUUCAGCCGUCUGUCAGUCUCUCUGCCUCCUUCCCCUUUCCUGAGGCAGAUUAUUCAGAUAAGGGAAACUACAGUUGUGUUUAUGAAGUCAGUGUCUCCUCACGCUCCUUCCGUUCCUCUGGCUCUGAACUGCUGCUCAUCACUAUCACAGCGUCUCUGCUUCCUGCUGUUAUUGGUGCUGCACUUUCAGCUGGACUGAUCUUACUGACCGUCCUCAUCAUCGUCCUGUUUCUUAAGAGAAGACAGAAGAAGAAGAAUGAUGAAGCUCAUUUGAAGUGUUCUUUCAGAAAUGGUGCAGCUAAUACAUAUGCAAGCUCAUCUACUGACAACAACUAUAAAGAGGAUGAUGAGGACGAGGAUUAUUAUGAGAAUGUGGAAUUAAAGGUUAAACACUUAGAUCAUGAUGACUUUGAGGAGGAUUACAUGAAGGUGGACGUGGACAGCUCUGAAGAAGACUAUAUCAAUGUGGACAUUACAGAAAAUAAAUGUGUGGCAAACAAAUCUAAUGAAAACAUUUAUGAAAGCUACUGUGAUUAAUACUGAGUGAGGCCAGAUCAUUACAAAUUAUGCUGCUUCAAGCAAAUAAAAUAUAACAGAAGCUUAACGAAGGAAGAAUUUUAGUUGGUCACUCUAUUUUUUUUAGCAAUGAUUUAUUCAAGAUUCAGAAUGGGGAUUAUGGCAUAUGAUUUUAUGUAA